UUUUUACACGGACGAAGGAGUCCAGUGCGCGCGCGAGUCCCCGGGACUUGAUUAGGCCCGAGGGCGCAAUGAAAGUGAAGGGCGUUUCGGACGUCCGAGUCGGGAUGCUCUUUUCGAGCCGCACCGACGGCCCGUCUCAUGCGACUUCGCUGAGGCGGAGCAAGAGCGCGCGCCCUGGGACCCGAAAGAUGGUGACCUAUGCCUGGACAGGAUGAAGCCAGAGGAAACUCUGGUGGAGGUCCGUAGCGGUUCUGACGUGCAAAUCGAUCGUCGGAUCUGGGCAUAGCAGCGAAAGACUCAUCGAACCAUCUAGUAGCUGUUUUCCCUCCGAA
Molecule: ribosomal RNA, 332 nt
Filed under: Withius sp. Za2
Lineage: Eukaryota; Metazoa; Arthropoda; Arachnida; Pseudoscorpiones; Withiidae
Description: partial large subunit ribosomal RNA
Rfam family: Eukaryotic large subunit ribosomal RNA
Source: RNAcentral